Long non-coding RNA from Corythoichthys intestinalis (scribbled pipefish), 292 nucleotides. RefSeq lists it as uncharacterized. NCBI's taxonomy places the organism in Eukaryota, Metazoa, Chordata, Actinopteri, Syngnathiformes, Syngnathidae. The record is from RefSeq and is a predicted model, not a curated record. The transcript has 3 exons.
CUCUCCUGUGCUGCUGCUUAAACCAGCACACAGACCAAGGCAGCCGAUCGAAUGAAACUACCUCGCCCUAGUGUCGGAGUCUUGCAGGAUGCAACAUCUGCGGCCAAGGUUGAGUAGAUUAGAGUUCGUUUACUUAGCACGACGGACUAGGCUGCUACCUUCUUCCUUUCCAGCCUCGGUGAACCAAACUCAAGACUGAAUGGACAUCGUGCUGACUGCAAUCGAGCACAUCCAUCUCGUCUCCCAUCUAUGACUAUAAGCUUGACAUCGAGGCCCUCCAGCUAAGGUGCAU